This 301-nucleotide ribosomal RNA is filed under the name uncultured bacterium. RNAcentral's name for it is "partial 16S ribosomal RNA". It matches the Rfam family "Bacterial small subunit ribosomal RNA", at positions 509 to 807 of the family's 1533-position model. The record is from RNAcentral.
CAGUAGCCGCGGUAAUACGAGGGGGGCAAGCGUUGUUCGGAAUUAUUGGGCGUAAAGGGUGCGUAGGCGGCUUGACAAGUCUUGUGUGAAAUCUAUGGGCUCAACCCAUAGUCUGCACGGGAAACUGUCGGGCUUGAGAAUGGGAGAGGUGAGUGGAAUUUCCGGUGUAGCGGUGAAAUGCGUAGAUAUCGGAAGGAACACCUGUGGCGAAAGCGGCUCACUGGACCAUUUCUGACGCUGAUGCACGAAAGCUAGGGGAGCAAACAGGAUUAGAUACCCCAGUAGUCCCUGUCUCUUAUAC